Syngnathoides biaculeatus (alligator pipefish) is the source of this 72-nucleotide non-coding RNA. The record is from the annotation of a RefSeq genome assembly. NCBI's taxonomy places the organism in Eukaryota, Metazoa, Chordata, Actinopteri, Syngnathiformes, Syngnathidae.
GGCUCUGUGGCGCAACGGUAGUGCAUCUGACUCCAGAUCAGAAUGUUAUGUGUUCAAAUCACAUUAGGGUCA